GGAGGAAAAGAAACCAACAGGGAUUGCCUCAGUAACGGCGAGUGAAGCGGCAAGAGCUCAAAUUUGAAAGCUGGCUCCUUCGGGGUCCGCAUUGUAAUUUGCAGAGGAUGCUUCGGGAGCAGCCCCCAUCUAAGUGCCCUGGAACGGGCCGUCAUAGAGGGUGAAAAUCCCGUAUGGGAUGGGGUGUCUGCGCCCAUGUGAAGCUCCUUCGACGAGUCGAGUUGUUUGGGAAUGCAGCUCUAAAUGGGUGGUAAAUUUCAUCUAAAGCUAAAUAUUGGCCGGAGACCGAUAGCGCACAAGUAGAGUGAUCGAAAGAUGAAAAGCACUUUGAAAAGAGAGUUAAAAAGCACGUGAAAUUGUUGAAAGGGAAGCGCUUGCGAUCAGACUCGCCUUGGGGGUUCAGCCGGCAUUCGUGCCGGUGUACUUCCCCCAGGGCGGGCCAGCGUCGGUUUGGGUGGCCGGUCAAAGGCCCUUGGAAUGUAACGCCUCUCGGGGCGUCUUAUAGCCAAGGGUGCCAUGCGGCCUACCUGGACCGAGGAACGCGCUUCGGCUCGGACGCUGGCAUAAUGGUCGUAAGCGACCCGUCUUGAA
Molecule: ribosomal RNA, 591 nt
Filed under: Penicillium sp.
Lineage: Eukaryota; Fungi; Ascomycota; Eurotiomycetes; Eurotiales; Aspergillaceae
Description: partial large subunit ribosomal RNA
Rfam family: Eukaryotic large subunit ribosomal RNA
Source: RNAcentral